This 62-nucleotide transfer RNA is filed under the name Cordylochernes scorpioides. Its description in RNAcentral is "tRNA-OTHER". It matches the Rfam family "tRNA". From Rfam's summary of the family: Transfer RNA (tRNA) molecules are approximately 80 nucleotides in length. Lineage: Eukaryota; Metazoa; Arthropoda; Arachnida; Pseudoscorpiones; Chernetidae. The record is from RNAcentral.
GCAUCGGUGGUUCAGUGGUAGAAUGUUCGACUGCCACGCGGGUUCGAUUCCCGGCCGAUGCA